GAUAAAUCAAAGAAAGCGAAGGAAAAAAAGGGAGAAAAGGAAGACGAAGAAGGAGAAAAGAAAGGCAAAGAUUUGAAAGCUAAAGGGAAGGAUGGUGAAGAGAAAAAGGAAAAAGAUAAGAAGAAAAAGGAAAAGGGGAAAGAAGAUGAUGAAGAGAAGAAGGAAAAGAAGAAGGAAAAGGAUGACAAAAUUGAUGUAGAAAAUGAUAAGGAUGGAAAAGAUGAUGGGGAGGAUGGUGAAAAGAAGAACAAGGAGAAGAAGAAAAAGGAAAAGAAGGACAAAGAAAACGAAGGAAAUGACGAUGAAGAGAAGAAGAAAAAGAAAGAGAAGGAGAAGAAAAAGGAAAAGAAGAACAAGGAUGAAGAAACAGACGCAUCAAAGGAAAAGGGAAAAGAUGAUGAAGUUGAGGAUGAAGAAGAAAAUCAGAAAAAGAAGAAAAAGGAUAAGAAGGAGAAGAAGGAGAAAGACAAGGAUCACAAAAAGGAAAAGAAGGAGGGUGGGAAAGAUGAUGGCAAGGUUGAAGUUUCUGUAAGGGAUAUUGAUAUAGAAGAA
Molecule: long non-coding RNA, 552 nt
Filed under: Phaseolus vulgaris (common bean)
Lineage: Eukaryota; Viridiplantae; Streptophyta; Magnoliopsida; Fabales; Fabaceae
Description: long non-coding RNA (PVUL_LNC005081)
Source: RNAcentral